CUCUCUCUCUCUCUCUCUCUGCAAGGAAAAAUGUCCGCGAAUCAUCAGCACAUGCUCCGCCUAGUCCUCUCGUGCCGCAAAAUCACGGCGCAGGUCACGAACCCCACGACCUCCACCAUCAUAGCCAUGGCCUCCUCCACGGAGCAAGAAUUCCUCGCCCAGUACCGCACCAGGCUCAACCGCUUCCCGCGAUCCCACAACUUCUGGGACGCCAAAAUGGCAUCCCGUGUCGGCGAGAAGCUAGGGUUCCGCCUCAAGGAGAUUGGCGUUACCAGCAUCAAUAUCGACCUCGACGAGGAGCUUUCUCGCCCAAUUCAUCACAGGAAGAGAGUUUUGCCGCUGUUCGAUUCAGUGAAACGCCUGGGUGUCGCCGUCGAUGGAGUAGAGAAAUUAGGAGAGAUUGGGCCUGCGUAGAUUGCGCUUUUAAGGUGAGCACUGAAUCGAGAGAUCAUAUUUUUGGUGUGAGUGAGAUACAGGAAAGGUAUACCACUAAAUUUUGAUGGAGUGGUGCUCAUUAUUGUAUUUCAUUAGGUUUAUACUUGUAUUGAUCAUUGGUAUAGUAAUAAUGUAUCUGAUUUUUCAGAAAACGAAACAAACAAUGAAAUUGAUAAUUUUUCUUCAAAAAGUCUUCUUUGUUUCCGAUGAUAUUUUUGCCGAUCAAUUAAUGGGUGUGUCCAUAUAUGUAGAAGAAGGUUGCAAUUUGGAUUUGGUAAAUGAUUGAGAGCAAUUCUGGUUCACUUUUUGGACUGAUUGUUGAUUUUAAUUGGGUUAUUUGUUCUCCUUUAUGGACUGGUUCAGUUUAAGCAUAGAAAGUCUUCUUGUUGAUUGUUGUAUACAAAUUUUUCCUUUUGUAAUGUCAAUCAAUGAGUGUGUCCAUACAUGUAGAAAACGUUUGCAAUAUAAGAUUUGGG
Molecule: unclassified non-coding RNA, 911 nt
Filed under: Hevea brasiliensis (rubber tree)
Lineage: Eukaryota; Viridiplantae; Streptophyta; Magnoliopsida; Malpighiales; Euphorbiaceae
Source: RNAcentral